AAGGGAGACCUAGUUCAGGUAUGAGACGAAAAAAAAGUAGUCCCUACCAAGAAUCAAUCCCAAAAGGUCGGAGCGAGGCAAAAUUGGCUUUCAAACUAGGUUCUGGGUUCACACAAGACCUGAAUCAGGAACAAGGGCUAUUAGCUCAGGUGGUUAGAGCGCACCCCUGAUAAGGGUGAGGUCCCUGGUUCGAGUCCAGGAUGGCCCACCUGUACAGGUGGCAAAAAGAAAGAAAAGAAGCGAGGAAUCAGCACCUUAUCUUACUUAUAUAGUAAGAGAGAAUGCUGGCUCUGAGUUCAGAGUCCAGAGGAACCUUGAAAACUGCAUAGAGCUAGGUGAAAAAGCCAAAAAAGAAGACCGCAAGGUCAAGCUAAUAAGGGCUAACGGUGGAUACCUAGGCAC
This 402-nucleotide transfer RNA is filed under the name uncultured Microcystis sp. RNAcentral's name for it is "bacterial LSU rRNA". The stretch from base 135 to 208 matches the Rfam family "tRNA". The record is from RNAcentral. Lineage: Bacteria; Bacillati; Cyanobacteriota; Cyanophyceae; Chroococcales; Microcystaceae.